CCAGCUGAUCUCCAGGCAGGCUGCCAGCCGCAGUCUGCAAGACACGGGAUCACCAGCCAGACGGUGACCCAGGGGCCACCGUUACUCAUCAUUUGGCCCCAGGUACAUGGUGUCCCCUACCUGUUAUUUGGAGCUGCCCCAUCUUCUUGAAGCCCCACCCAACCUCAGGGAUCAGACAUCCAAGGUCACACACAUCAGUCAGUGUCAGAGAAAGGCUCAGGCCAGGUGCCAGAGCAUGAAGGUUGUGUGACCUAUUAUUUUUAUUUUUCUAUUUUUGUUCUUUUUUUUUUUUUUUCGGAGCUGGGGACCAAACCCAGGGCCUUGCGCUUCCUAGGCAAGCGCUCUACCACUGAGCUAAAUCCCCAACCCCUAUUAUUUUUAUUUUAAAACAGACAAGCUGGCCUGGAACUCAUGGUCUUCCUGCCUCAGCUCCUGGGUGCCUGGAUGACACUCCUGCACCACCAAGGCCUGUGGGGCACUUUCUUGAUUAGUAAUGAUUGCUGCUGGGCUAAGCCCACUGUGAGUGGUGUCAACCCCUAGGCUGGAGAUCCUGGGCUGCAAUGAGAUUAGGAGAGAGCAAGCCCAGCCUACCUCCAUCCUUGGCUUGAGUUCCUGCCCUGCCCGGGACUGGGAACAAAAAUAUACAGUUUCUUGUCAAAACAGGUGAGGGCCCUCCUGCUGCCUCACUGUGCGGGCUGAGGAUACUGGAAACAUUGAUUAUCACAAUAUGUGAUAAAAUACCAUGGUAUUUUCUUACUUCUUGCUUAGAUCUGAGCAGUCCUUGCUCCUGGCGGCAUAGAGCUCUAGGCUCCCACCCUUGCUUUCUCUGAGGAUUGUCCCCUCUCCCAACACACCUCCCUUCCCGCCCUCCCCUGUCCAGCUCAGGAACCACAUUCACUGUGCGCCCACGCCACGCAGACACUGACCACACUGAGCCUCGUCAGACCCAUCAGAGCAGUCCACUCUGUCGUCACACUCCGGGUUUUCUUUGCUCACGCAUUGACUGUUCUGACAGGAGAAGGCAUUCCCGGGGCAGUGGCCUGGGAGCAGAGAACCAAGCUGGGGGCCCGGAACCUCUUCCUUGCAGAGGCAGCGACCUGCAUGGGUCCUUUAGGUACCUCAACAGUGUAAAAACCUCUGUGAGCUUUUUGCUUAUCUCUGCGGACAGAGACACAACAUGGACGUGAGUGAGGUGUGUGUGUGGGGUGUCUCUCUGUGUAGUCUGAAACUCAUUUUGCAGACCCAGCUGGCCUUGACCUCACAGAGAUCCACCUUUGCCUGCCUCCCAACUGCAGGGAUUAAAGAUUUUGUUUUUACAAUAGAAUUCCAUCACCUUCUGUGAAGGCUGGUCUUAAUGGUCUCCUCAGUGGGAUCUAGAGACAGUAUGGAGACAAGCCUCUACCUGUCUGAGGGAGUUAGAGCCCCAGCAGUCACCCCUCUCUGCUUCCCAACUGAGGACUCCGACUCCCCUCCUGCUGCCACACCCGCCCAGACGUCAGAACUGACCAAGGGCCACAGGAACUGCACAUGUGCCUCCCAGAGAGACGUCGAAGGCACCUUCCAGGGAGCUGAGCUGAGGGCCAGUCCUACCUGACUUUAAGUCCCUCUCGGUCACCGGACCUUCACACCUUCCUGAAGCAGAACAGACAAAGCCAAGUGAGAGUCGAGCGAUGGUUCAUGCCUGUCGCUGAGGCAGGAGGAUUGUAAACCUGAGGUCAGCCUGGGCAGUAUGAGGAGGUCCUCUCUUGCUCCCUUCCCCUAAAAGAUCAGCUGCAUUGAGUGCUGGCUCUCCGGAACAUCUGCUGCAGGCGGUGGCACAGCCACCAACACUUUAACCCUGUCUUCAACUCAGCUAGCGAGGGCACAGCACUGAAGACCCCAUGAGGCUGGCAGUCAUUGUCGAAGCAGGAACACGCCUGCCUCUGAGGAAUCUUCUAGAAGAUGGGCUGAAGUAAUCUGUGAGACCUCAGUCAUCAUGUCAGCGCCAAGGAACAGUGAGGUCGGGUGACAAGCAUUUGACAACUGAAAGGUCUGAUGCGGUUUCUAAUUGCCCCUCCCAAUUUUACCUCAUUCACUCUGUAGACCAGGCUAGCCUAAGAACUCAGAGACCUGCCUGCCUCUGCCUCCCGAGUGCAGGGAUUAAAGAUGUGAGCCACUUGAUUGGCCAUAUUUUGGUUUUUGAGACAGGGUCUCAUUCUGUUGCCCAGGUGGCCCCGCCCAUUUCUGAAGGGGGGGGGGCGGUGUCAGGCCGGAAGCCCCAGGCAAGCUGUAGCUCCACAGCUAAGGAAAGCACUGGAAGGCCAGUCAGUACAAAAGAGCUCUGACGCUAACCAUUCUCAUGCUAAUUGUGUUACGCAAAAACCUGUGGGCAGAGUCGGGGCCUAGGCUAAAGAAGCCCUCCCCCGGGCUGGAGAGAUGGCUCAGCGGUUAAGAGCGCCCGACUGCUCUUCCAGAGGUCAUGAGUUCAAUUCCCAGCAACCACAUGGUGGCUCACAACCAUCUGUAAAGAGAUCUGAUGCCCUCUUCUGGUGUAUCUGAAGACAGCUACAGUGUACUUAUAUAUAAUAAAUAAAUAAAUCUUUAAAAAAAAAAAAAAAAGAA
Molecule: non-coding RNA, 2601 nt
Organism: Rattus norvegicus (Norway rat)
Lineage: Eukaryota; Metazoa; Chordata; Mammalia; Rodentia; Muridae
Source: RefSeq, a predicted model, not a curated record